GUUGGCUCGACUACACUCAUCACCCUGUGACAUACCUAAAACGUUGCUUCGGCGGGAACAGACGGCCCUGUAACAACGGGCCGCCCCCGCCAGAGGACCCCUAACUCUGUUUUUAUAAUGUUUUUCUGAGUAAACAAGCAAAUAAAUUAAAACUUUCAACAACGGAUCUCUUGGCUCUGGCAUCGAUGAAGAACGCAGCGAAAUGCGAUAAGUAAUGUGAAUUGCAGAAUUCAGUGAAUCAUCGAAUCUUUGAACGCACAUUGCGCCCGCCAGUAUUCUGGCGGGCAUGCCUGUUCGAGCGUCAUUACAACCCUCAGGCCCCCGGGCCUGGCGUUGGGGAUCGGCGGAAGCCCCCUGUGGGCACACGCCGUCCCUCAAAUACAGUGGCGGUCCCGCCGCAGCUUCCAUUGCGUAGUAGCUAACACCUCGCAACUGGAGAGCGGCGCGGCCAUGCCGUAAAACACCCAACUUCUGAAUGUUGACCUCGAAUCAGGUAGGAAUACCCGCUGAACUUAAGCAUAUCAAAACCGGGGAAGAAAA
This 540-nucleotide ribosomal RNA is filed under the name Fusarium solani. RNAcentral's name for it is "eukaryotic LSU rRNA". The stretch from base 151 to 304 matches the Rfam family "5.8S ribosomal RNA". Lineage: Eukaryota; Fungi; Ascomycota; Sordariomycetes; Hypocreales; Nectriaceae. The record is from RNAcentral.